AUGCUAGUUUCUCAUUUUUUACAGAUUCUUUUCUUAUUCUUUCUAAAUAACCAAACAAAAUCCAAAUUGUCCCACUUCCUAAAA
RNAcentral lists this transfer RNA (84 nucleotides) under Candidatus Nitrosarchaeum limnium SFB1. RNAcentral's name for it is "tRNA-Ser". The record is from RNAcentral. Lineage: Archaea; Thermoproteati; Nitrososphaerota; Nitrososphaeria; Nitrosopumilales; Nitrosopumilaceae.